This 464-nucleotide ribosomal RNA is filed under the name uncultured bacterium. RNAcentral describes it as "partial 16S ribosomal RNA". It matches the Rfam family "Bacterial small subunit ribosomal RNA", at positions 28 to 507 of the family's 1533-position model. The record is from RNAcentral.
GACGAACGCUGGCGGCGUGCUUAAUACAUGCAAGUCGAACGAUGAAGCCAGCUUUCGGUUGGAUGGAUGGCUUACGAGUGGGUAACACGUGCGUAAGCUACCCCACACUUAGGGGUGAGCCUGUGAAACUGGGGCUAAUACCUACUGUGACCGAGACUCUCAUGCAUGUUGUUUGAAAACUCCGGCGGUUUGGGAUGGUCCCGCGGCCUAUCAGCUUGUUGGUGGGGUAAUGGCCUACAAAGGCGACGACGGGUGGCCGUACUGAGAGGGCGACAGGCCACAGUGGGCCUGAGAAACCGGCCAGAGUCAUACGGGAGGCAUCAGUGGGGGACAUUGCACGCUGCGCGGAAGCAUGAUGGAGCGUCGCCGCGUGAGAGAUGACGGUUGUAGGGUUGUAACGCUCUUUCGCCUGGGACGAAGCGACAGUGACGGUACCUGGAGAAGAAGCACCGGCUAACUACGUG